UAUGGCUCAGGAUGAACGCUAGCUACAGGCUUAACACAUGCAAGUCGAGGGGCAGCAUGAGAUUAGCUUGCUAAUCUUGAUGGCGACCGGCGCACGGGUGAGUAACGCGUAUCCAACCUUCCCCCUACUCAGGCAUAGCCCGGUGAAAACCGGAUUAACUCCUGAUAGUUUCACUAGAUGGCAUCUGACGGUGAAGUAAAGCUCAGCGGUAAGGGAUGGGGAUGCGUCUGAUUAGCUUGUUGGCGGGUAACGGCCCACCAAGGCGACGAUCAGUAGGGGUUCUGAGAGGAAGGUCCCCCACAUUGGAACUGAGACACGGUCCAAACUCCUACGGGAGGCAGCAGUGAGGAAUAUUGGUCAAUGGGCGCGAGCCUGAACCAGCCAAGUAGCGUGCAAGGAUGACGGCCCUAUGGGUUGUAAACUGCUUUUGUAUGGGAAUAAAGUCAGGGACGUGUCCCUGUUUGCAUGUACCAUAAGAAUAAGGACCGGCUAAUUCCGUGCCAGCAGCCGC
This 511-nucleotide ribosomal RNA is filed under the name uncultured bacterium. RNAcentral's name for it is "bacterial SSU rRNA". It matches the Rfam family "Bacterial small subunit ribosomal RNA", at positions 18 to 518 of the family's 1533-position model. The record is from RNAcentral.